CCCAAAGUGUCGGCGCAUAUUCUUAAAUAACCGAACAUGUACCGUCGCUCUGGG
Molecule: microRNA precursor, 54 nt
Filed under: Ciona intestinalis (vase tunicate)
Lineage: Eukaryota; Metazoa; Chordata; Ascidiacea; Phlebobranchia; Cionidae
Description: microRNA cin-mir-4031 precursor
Source: miRBase by way of RNAcentral